GGACAGCCUUCUGAAAGGAAGAUUAAUACAAGAUGGCAUCAUGAGUCCGCAUGUUCACACGAUUAAAGGUAUUCCGGUAGACGAUGGGGAUGCGUUCCAUUAGAUAGUAGGCGGGGUAACGGCCCACCUAGUCUUCGAUGGAUAGGGGUUCUGAGAGGAAGGUCCCCCACAUUGGAACUGAGACACGGUCCAAACUCCUACGGGAGGCAGCAGUGAGGAAUAUUGGUCAAUGGGCGAGAGCCUGAACCAGCCGAGUAGCGUGAAGGAUGACUGCCCUAUGGGUUGUAAACUUCUUUUAUAAAGG
RNAcentral lists this ribosomal RNA (304 nucleotides) under uncultured bacterium. Its description in RNAcentral is "bacterial SSU rRNA". It matches the Rfam family "Bacterial small subunit ribosomal RNA", at positions 141 to 444 of the family's 1533-position model. The record is from RNAcentral.